Molecule: ribosomal RNA, 440 nt
Filed under: uncultured bacterium
Lineage: Bacteria
Description: bacterial SSU rRNA
Rfam family: Bacterial small subunit ribosomal RNA
Source: RNAcentral
CCUACGGGAGGCAGCAGUGGGGAAUAUUGCGCAAUGGGCGAAAGCCUGACGCAGCAACGCCGCGUGUGUGAAGAAGGCCUUCGGGUUGUAAAGCACUGUCAAGAGGGAAGAAUGACCGAUGAUGAAUCGGUAGUGACGGUACCUCUAAAGGAAGCACCGGCUAACUCCGUGCCAGCAGCCGCGGUAAUACGGAGGGUGCUAGCGUUGUUCGGAAUUACUGGGCGUAAAGCGCGUGUAGGCGGGUUCGCAAGUCUGAUGUGAAAGCCCGGGGCUCAACCUCGGAAGUGCAUUGGAAACUGCGAACCUUGAGUACUGGAGGGGAAAGUAGAAUUCCGAGUGUAGAGGUGAAAUUCGUAGAUAUUCGGAGGAACACCAGUGGCGAAGGCGACUUUCUGGACAGAUACUGACGCUGAGACGCGAAAGCGUGGGGAGCAAACAGG